RNAcentral lists this long non-coding RNA (768 nucleotides) under Sus scrofa (pig). RNAcentral describes it as "lncRNA (ENSSSCG00065043869.1)". Lineage: Eukaryota; Metazoa; Chordata; Mammalia; Artiodactyla; Suidae. The record is from RNAcentral.
GACCCACAGACUGAAAACGCGGCCAGGCGGUGCCCGAAACAUUAUCCUAGCCUCCAAAGAGGCCAGUUUGGCUUUAUUACACGGGAGAUGUAAUUUAUUGGGAGAAAUGUUUGGGUUCGUGUGUCGGAUGGUGGAGAGUCAGAUUUGGAGUUCCCUGGGGAUCUCCGAGGAGAAGGUGUGUUAAGGAAAUCACCAAGUCCCAGAGUGUAGACAAGCCCGAUCCCUUCGCAGCAGAAGCAGAUGUUCACAAAGCAACUGACCAGGCCAGGUGUGUCCUUCAAGGCUACCUGCAUUCAACAGAGGCGACCACAGCCCAGACCCAUCCUUCUUGGGAGAAUUUCAAGAUGCUCCACAUAGUGGUGCCUAGCGCUCUGUGCACUCAGAGGCUAGAAGAAAAGAUACAGAGGUCCUCUUUCAAGGAGAGGCCCUGAUGUUUCUAUUCUUACAAGGAUUCUUUGGUAAUAAAUACAGUGAAAACACCGUCACCGUAGAGAUAAUACUUAAUGCUCAAGAGGUACGUAGCAGAGAUUGCAUUCCAAUCAAGGACUUCCGUAACCCUGUCUACCAAGCCAGUAUCACCUGUAGGCCAGUUCACCUUCAUCCAGUCACUUUACAGCACUUGAGUGUUUGCUGUCCGCUCAAUUAAAAUCCUACUCUGGUGGGAAAAACCAGAUUUCCAAAUGGGGACUUUAUUGAUUCAAUAAAAUUUAAGAAAUUCUGCUUAUGGAAAAACUCAUUAACCCAAACUAAUAAAUACGAGUUUACCCU